GGCUUGGUUAUAACUGAUCUGAUGCUGUUAGAUUGAUACUUAUGUAAUUGGAAUGAUUUCUUUGUACGUGAUUUCACUACAAAAGAGAAUAGUGUUGGUCCUUUGAUUUGGAGGAGAGUGAUGUGGGAAGGGUUUGUAUUACCGAUUACUGGAGAACUUGGACGCUCUCAAAUCUCAGUGGACUAUUUCCUAUUUAUCUAAUG
Molecule: unclassified non-coding RNA, 203 nt
Filed under: Hevea brasiliensis (rubber tree)
Lineage: Eukaryota; Viridiplantae; Streptophyta; Magnoliopsida; Malpighiales; Euphorbiaceae
Source: RNAcentral